UCCAGACCUAAGUGUGUGUGUGUGUGUGUGUGUAUGUAUAUAUGUAUACACACACACACACACACUUAGGUCUGGAAA
Molecule: non-coding RNA, 78 nt
Organism: Pelobates cultripes (western spadefoot toad)
Lineage: Eukaryota; Metazoa; Chordata; Amphibia; Anura; Pelobatidae
Source: the annotation of a GenBank genome assembly